This 470-nucleotide ribosomal RNA is filed under the name Fusarium verticillioides. RNAcentral describes it as "eukaryotic LSU rRNA". The stretch from base 150 to 303 matches the Rfam family "5.8S ribosomal RNA". The record is from RNAcentral. Lineage: Eukaryota; Fungi; Ascomycota; Sordariomycetes; Hypocreales; Nectriaceae.
ACCGAGUUUACAACUCCCAAACCCCUGUGAACAUACCAAUUGUUGCCUCGGCGGAUCAGCCCGCUCCCGGUAAAACGGGACGGCCCGCCAGAGGACCCCUAAACUCUGUUUCUAUAUGUAACUUCUGAGUAAAACCAUAAAUAAAUCAAAACUUUCAACAACGGAUCUCUUGGUUCUGGCAUCGAUGAAGAACGCAGCAAAAUGCGAUAAGUAAUGUGAAUUGCAGAAUUCAGUGAAUCAUCGAAUCUUUGAACGCACAUUGCGCCCGCCAGUAUUCUGGCGGGCAUGCCUGUUCGAGCGUCAUUUCAACCCUCAAGCCCAGCUUUGGUGUUGGGACUUCGCGAGUCAAAUCGCGUUCCCCAAAUUGAUUGGCGGUCACGUCGAGCUUCCAUAGCGUAGUAGUAAAACCCUCGUUACUGGUAAUCGUCGCGGCCACGCCGUUAAACCCCAACUUCUGAAUGUUGACCUCG